Long non-coding RNA from Cannabis sativa, 1685 nucleotides. RefSeq lists it as uncharacterized. The transcript has 2 exons. NCBI's taxonomy places the organism in Eukaryota, Viridiplantae, Streptophyta, Magnoliopsida, Rosales, Cannabaceae. The record is from RefSeq and is a predicted model, not a curated record.
ACGAUUGUUUUCUAACUUUGCUAUUUUCUUUUGCAGAUAUGUCUUCGGUCUCACUGGGGGACCUUCAGAUGAGCCCGCAGGUCGAGUGAGGGCCAAGGUGGCCCAAACUUCUUGUGGCGAAGAUGAUGUUGGGUCUUCUCUGCCUCCUCUUCCACCAGGGCCUGCACUAGCUGGGUAGCCUGUGAUACGGCCUAUGGGACAGGGUGCUCGGAGGCCUGACCGAGGAGCAAGCUCAGCUAUAGGGCAGAGAGCUAUGGAGGUCGCCCAUAGACGCAAAGAGAGAGCUUUUCCUUUCAUGGAUGAGGAGCUCAAGGAGAUUGGUGAUGGCGAGCCAGACAGGCUCUACUCCACCAGCCUUCGGGAUUAUUCUUUGGUAAGUUGUAUUUUUAGCUUUAUUCAUCAUUCUGGCACGGUGUACCGGUCAAGGGAUUUGUUGCAUGGGUCUGGCCAGCCAUGGAUGAAUCUGUGAGGGGCUGUCCGGCUGUAGUAGUUUCAAAUAGAGGGUGGUCGGCCAGGUAUGUGACUACACAGUUUAAGAGAGCUUAAAUGGAUUGAUUGGUACUACCUAUAUCAAUAAGGUGCAUCUUGUUUUUCGGUAGCCCAUCACGAAAGAACUCCACAGUUAAGCAUGCCUGACCUGGGGUAAUUUCAGGAUGGGUGACCUCUUGGGAAGUUUUCCCAAGAAGCGUGCGAGUGAGGACAAAGCACACUGGAAACACUCGUGUUGGUUUGUAGGGUCAGUCGUCAGUCCAUGAAGCAGCCAGAGUGACGUACUCGUGUAUAAGAGCCAUUCAUUCCGUGGGUGUAAGGACCCAAUGGAGGCUUGAAGCGGGGACGUUACAUACUGGAUGUAAGUACAAGCGUCAGUGAUAUAUAAUGAGUACCAGCGUAGAUAUAGGCCUACCUGUUUCCUGGCGACGUACUAGGCAUAAGUACGGGCGUCAGUGAUAUAUGAUAAGUACCGGGCGUAGGUACGAGCUCGUCUAAGUAGGCGAUUACUCCUUGCGACGUGUAGAUACGGCGUCAGUGAUAUGAAAAUUGCCAGGUUAUGGCAUAAAAUGAAAUCAUUGUAGGGUUUCCUCCUAGCGACGUGUAGAUACGGACGUCAGUGACAUAUGAUAAGUACCAGACAUAGGUACGGGCUCGUCUGAUUAGGCGAUGCGAUAUAUUGGUGCCAAGGUGUGGCACGUGCUCACCUGAUUAAGUGAUGCAAUUAUAUGAAAUAUGAGUGCAAGUUUUUGGCACAGGCUCACCUGAUUAGGUGCUGCAGUUAUGCGAUAUAUGGGUGCAAGGCUAUGGCACGGGCUUGCCUGAUUAGGUAAUGCAAUAUAGGAUUAUCCUAUUUAAGCAUCGACUUGCUUGAUUAGCCAACGCGAUGUGAUGAAGAUGGUUACUUUAUGAGGUAAAGGUAAAUAAAAGCUUGAUCAAUCAUGAAGUGACAGUCUUCUCCAGCAAUGUACAUAUUGACCUCACCGGCCUGCGUGCCGAGUUGCUAGGAGUUGUUUUGGGCCGACUGUAUCUGCUGUGUAUUUUGAUUUUAUGUUAAAAUGGUUGUCUUAUAUAUUUCUUUAGCAAAACUUUUUAUAACAUGGAUUCCCGGAACACACUUUUUAUGUAGUUAUAAUGUCCGUUUCUAGUGCUUUAUUUUAGUCAAGUGUUUAAUAAUAUCACGGUUUUUUUAAUAA